CACUAUUAACUUUAACGAAGUAGCUUUGAUGGCGGGGAAGAGACAGCUGAUACUACACUUCCCUAACAAUAAACUACACUGACAGAUAAAAACAAACAUCGUAAAAGAAGGCCAGCUAGAAGAUGCCCAUAAGCCAGGAACUGAUUCCAGGUUGUUGGUAACCAGAGCCGGCAUGUGUGUCUGCUCUGCGACGUGUGUGCAUUUCACAGGAGGCACGGCAGAUGCCUCUGCAGCAGCGCGGUCCGCAGCCUCGUGGCUAGAGCAGGUUUAUGGAAGCCAGCCACUCUGGUCACCAGUCAGUGCUCCUCAGGAAUGUGUUUGGAGGCAACCUUCAGGGAAAGCUCCAUUUGGGUUCCAGAUUGAUGAGAGUUGCAUAGUCAGCAACCCAUUUGUGAGGGCUUGCGGAGAUCUUAUGGAAUAACCUGAAGCAGGCAAGGCUGUGCUUAAUCUGGGAGCUUGAUAGCUGGGGAGAACCACCAGGUUUGUCAGGGAUCCUCAGUAAAUGCCGCUGAAAUUGAUCCCACCUCUCUGGAGGUAAGUUUAAUAGAGUGAUUUACACCCUGUGUCAUUUUCUUCAUACCUGGAUCUCCUGGAGCUGUUGUGAAGACUGGCAUGGACCCCAGAAAUGGGAGAGCUUCUAUGGGAAGAGAAGGGAAGUGUGAUUCUGAAACUCUGAUCCUCAAACCUUCAGUGGGCAGCCACUGCAUGUUGGCAUCCUGUUUGGUGAGGGUACUCAGAGUCUUUUUAUGA
Molecule: long non-coding RNA, 750 nt
Filed under: Struthio camelus australis
Lineage: Eukaryota; Metazoa; Chordata; Aves; Struthioniformes; Struthionidae
Description: lncRNA (ENSSCUG00000002078.1)
Source: RNAcentral